Molecule: transfer RNA, 74 nt
Filed under: Candidatus Daviesbacteria bacterium
Lineage: Bacteria; Candidatus Daviesiibacteriota
Description: tRNA-Ala
Rfam family: tRNA
About the family: Transfer RNA (tRNA) molecules are approximately 80 nucleotides in length.
Source: RNAcentral
GGGCCUGUAGCUCAAUUGGUAGUAGCGCAGCUAUGGCAUAGCUGAGGUUGUCGGUUCGAGCCCGAUCAGGUCCA